UACGUAGGUGGCGAGCGUUGUCCGGAAUUACUGGGCGUAAAGGGCGCGCAGGCGGUUCGUUAAGUCCAAGGUGAAAUCCCACGGCUCAACUGUGGGGGGACCCUGGAUACUGGCGGGCUGGAGUGCGGGAGAGGGAAGCGGAAUUCCACGUGUAACGGUGAAAUGUAUAGAUAUGUGGAGGAACACCGGUGGCGAAGGCGGCUUCCUGGACCGUAACUGACGCUGAGGCGCGAAAGCUGGGGGAGCGAACAGGAUUAGAAACCCGCGUAGUCC
This 273-nucleotide ribosomal RNA is filed under the name uncultured prokaryote. Its description in RNAcentral is "partial 16S ribosomal RNA". It matches the Rfam family "Bacterial small subunit ribosomal RNA", at positions 524 to 796 of the family's 1533-position model. The record is from RNAcentral.